AUGUUUUCUUCGCAGGAAGGUUCGCAGGAAGAGGACGCGGCCGACUUCUCUUUCAAGGAUGGUAACAGGCUGUGCUCUCUUUUUCUGCGGCAGCAAGGUCUCAUCAAGAAAAAGCGAAGAUGGCUGGCCUCGCUGAAUCCCGAAUUAGGUGUCCCCUUCAAACUUAAGCGACCAAAGUUUCUGAAAGUCGUCUACUUGGCUGAAUCGGAUGUCAGGACUGAUGAAGUGUCCAGCGAGAAAGUAAGAUGUAACAUCGAAGAAAGUUUUGGUUUGCAAAGCAAGUGUUACAUUCAUCAUGUAGUUCUGGAUGGUCUUGAGCUUUUUAAGUUGCAAAAACAGAAGGAUGGCUCUCUCUGUCCAGAAAGCUUGAAGACCAUGCACUGUACAAUCAGCAAAUUAAGCAAUGGGGCACUUGAGUCAGUGGCUAAUAUUGUCGCCCACAAUGGGAUUAGUUUCAGGAAGAUUAGGCCUACAAUGAUGAAAAUCGUGAAGGACCACCUUCCAAAAUACUUGGCUGAGUUGGACAGUGAAAGUGGUAUGCGAUUGUCUGAAAUUUUAACAAAUCCAUGCAGCUACCGUUCUAAUUCUGUCUGUCUUAGAACACCUGUUUCACCAAUGCUUCUGUCAUCUAUUGACCAAGCUUUAGCUGGGCUGGAUGAAAUUCCCCAGCAAGCUGCUAUUGCAAUCAAUAGAAAGCUCUCAGGAAAAUCAUGCCCCCCAGAAUUUCUGCAUGUAGCUCGAACUUCCAGCAGAAGCCAUCUUAUUAAUUUGAUAAGGAAAAGAUGUGGAAAUAUGAUAGCAAAGCUGCAGGAAGGCAAUGAUCUUCCAGAGAACUUUGCAAAAGCAUUGUCAGUGAUGAACCUAUAUCGGAAACUCACACUAAAGAGCAUGGCUAUUUCACAGUCAGAGUUCUUUCCCUUUCCACGUGCGACUAUAUCAUCGCAGCAAGAUAUCCUGAAUGCUCUAUGGUCACUUCCAAACGUCGAUACUGAUGAUAUGAAGUUGCUGCGUCGCAUUAUGGGCCAAGGUUCUCAAGUGAAGAUGGCAUCAUUCAAAGCAGCUGUGAGGAGGUACUUGACAGAAUGCUUGUUUGAGUGUGAUGAUGGUAAUUUACCGGAUUUGGCAGUACGUGCCAUUGGUUUCUUAGCUCAAAUGUCUCCUAAAUGUCAACAAGCUAUUCUCACUGAAGAGAGAAAGGAAGUGGAAGUAGAUGCUGUCUUGGAUUUAAGCAGUUGCCUCAGAUCUUUGGUACGUGGUGCCACUGAAGAAAACUCGAGCGAUGACGAAGUUAGCUUAGAGAGUGACAGGUGCAGUGAAGAUAAUGAUUUUGUACUCACCACGAGCAACUACUUUGAUAUUCGUUCUGAGCAACGCAUGGAUGAGGGCUGCUGUUCAAAUUUCAUGAUCAAUAGCACUGAAGAUUCUGAGUACACUGCUGGUGCUGGACAUUAUGGAGACAGUGGUGCUGCUGGCAGUACGAUGGAUCCUAGUUCGGAGAAGGACAAUGUGGAGAUGACUAGAUGCUCUGCAGAAGAUCUCUCUGCAUUAUGUGAUGACACUGCAAGUAUUGCACAUGAGCUUAUUGGGCACAUUCUUAAAAACAUGUUGACUGAAGACGAGGGGAUUGAUGAACUUACCGGAUGUUAUCUUGGAGGCAGUUCUAAUUCUCAAGAUCCUCAAGAUCCUGAAGCGGAGAACCAAAAAGGCGACAUUGUGAUAAAUGCUGUCCAGAGUCUCUUACCUAAUCUGCCGAAAAGCUCCAUCGACAAAGUUAGGAGCAUACUGGAUGGUGCGGAGCAGUGA
This 1803-nucleotide ribosomal RNA is filed under the name Triticum aestivum (bread wheat). Its description in RNAcentral is "partial small subunit ribosomal RNA". The record is from RNAcentral. Lineage: Eukaryota; Viridiplantae; Streptophyta; Magnoliopsida; Poales; Poaceae.